Sitophilus oryzae (rice weevil) is the source of this 358-nucleotide long non-coding RNA. RefSeq lists it as uncharacterized. The record is from RefSeq and is a predicted model, not a curated record. NCBI's taxonomy places the organism in Eukaryota, Metazoa, Arthropoda, Insecta, Coleoptera, Curculionidae. The transcript has 3 exons.
UGGAUAUUUAUUGGCUCAAGAAGUCCUAUCAGAAAAAGAAAGAAGUAUGUUAAUGAGGUAUAAUAAUGAUAUUAUGUAGAAAUUUAAGUCUCAUAAAAAUUUGGGAACAAAGAAAAUAAAAAAUACAUACUUUGCAAAUGGGUCUAAGAAGAUUGAAAAAUAAAAUAACAUCAAUGCAUCAAUUAAUUGAUUACUUAAAAGAAAAAUCUUUGAUAAGUGAAUCAUCUGAAUUGACCAUAAAGGCUUCCCUAGCUGGGCCAGCACAAAGUAUUUUUGAAAGAAUGUUAAAAGGACCUGCCACACAAAAAUCCAAUCCUCUGCUACUAUCCUUUGCUUUAACAUUGUAAUUUUAUUCACC